This 477-nucleotide RNase P RNA is filed under the name Verrucomicrobiota bacterium. RNAcentral's name for it is "Verrucomicrobia bacterium RNase P RNA component class A". It matches the Rfam family "Bacterial RNase P class A". Rfam says of the family: Ribonuclease P (RNase P) is a ubiquitous endoribonuclease, found in archaea, bacteria and eukarya as well as chloroplasts and mitochondria. Lineage: Bacteria; Pseudomonadati; Verrucomicrobiota. The record is from RNAcentral.
AAUCGAUGGCAGAUGAUCGCUGGUGAAUCGCAAGAUUCGCUGGAGGAAAGUCCGAACACCAUACGGCAGCAUGCCGCGUAAAAUACGCGGGCGACGUCCGCGAAAGCCGACGUUGACGGAGAGUGUCACAGAAAAGACACCGCCGGUUCUUUGAAAGAAGCGCAGGCAAGGGUGAAAAGGCGAGGUAAGAGCUCACCGCUCGCGAAGUAAUUCGCGAGGCAGGAAAAACCCCAUGCGGUGCAAGACAAAACAGAGGAAGGGCAGCCGGCCCGAUCAAGAUCCUCGGGUAUCGUCGCACGCGGUCGAAAUUGUAGCGGCGGUCUGUGACCGCCGACGCAAAAGGCCCGUCCAGCUCCAGUUUUUCUGAAAGGCAGCGAGCUGGUUAGAGCUGGCCAGAAAAACUGGGGCUGGAAGAUAAAUGAUCAUCCGCGUGAGCAAUCACGCCGACAGAAUUCGGCUUAUCGCCAUCGAAAAUAU